AUGGUGGGCCCGCUCCUGAAUCAAUCACGGAUAAAAUCUACGAGAAUACGAAAACAAUCAAUGAGUACCCAAUAGCUGAAGAUCUACCCGAUAUUCGAGGGACCUGAAGGGAGAUUUGAUGUUGAUAUUUUUGAUUCUGUGGAUGACUAUGUGAAACUAAUGAAGUAAGUCUCUGGUCACUGUAUUCAAGAGAAUGGAUCAGGCUCUGCCUCCUUCUGUGGUCUAUGUGAAAAUCAAACUUUUUCUCGUCUCUUCAGGUCAAUCUUCGAUUUUGAAUCUAUUCAAAACCUGCUUCUUCUCCAAAAUUUACAUUCUGCGAUGAUGCAUUGAAUGGAGUUGCUGGAGCUUAUGCGCACCACAUCUUUGUUGAGGAACUUGGUGGACAAGAAAGUUCGUUAUUGAAUUGCAC
Molecule: long non-coding RNA, 409 nt
Organism: Tarenaya hassleriana
Lineage: Eukaryota; Viridiplantae; Streptophyta; Magnoliopsida; Brassicales; Cleomaceae
Exons: 3
Source: RefSeq, a predicted model, not a curated record